Long non-coding RNA from Equus caballus (horse), 2275 nucleotides. Lineage: Eukaryota; Metazoa; Chordata; Mammalia; Perissodactyla; Equidae. The record is from Ensembl.
GAAAGCCCUUUAUCUGGGGCCGAGGAGACCUCCUACAAGGCGCCUUUCCCAGACUCCUGAGGGUCUGCAGGAAAAGAGGUCAGAGUUUGGAGUCUCUUGGUGACCAUGCAUCAACUUGUAUUGCUGUUUCCAUCUCAGGAAGCAAAAAAAAAAAAAAAAAAAAAAAAAGGUGUGAGUGCCUGUGUGGGAGGACUGUCGCACACGGUAACCCUAGCAGAAAGCCCGCCAGGGAGCUGACGUCCCUUGCAUUGUGCGUAUGAGAAACUGAGGCCAGAGAAGUGAAGGGAUGUGCCCAGGAGCUCCGAGCAGCCUAGGGUGCUCCAAGAAUAUCUGCUGAAUAAGUGAAUGAGGAAAAACAAAUUACCAUGGGUCCACCAAGAAGAAACACUUCUGCCGACCUUUUGACGUGUGUGUUUUCUCUGAGUAUUUUUUCCCACCAAAGUUUAGGUGCGGUUUUAAGGGUCUCUAACAUCCUCGCCAGCUUGUGAACCACAGUUUGACUCUUCUGCUGCUGCACUUUUAGGCUGUUUUCCAUUUUUCUCUUCAUAAAGGAUGUGGCUGAUGCCUUUCGGCAGAGAACUCUUUCCAUAUUUCACCUUAUUUCCUAAGGAGAGAGUGUCAGAAGAGGGAUGAACUUGGUCACUUGGUCAAAGUUUUUUCUUUUUUAAUCUGAUUUCAUAUUUCUUAAGAAUGAUGCACCUUAUGAAACAACUUUAUAUCUGUUGAGAAACCUGGUUAAGUUCUUUUUUUAAUAUUGUUUUUAAAAAAGACUUGUUCUGAACAAUAUCCUGUGUCUUUCAGAAAACAGCGGCGGAUAUGAAAGGAGAUUUGUUCCCUCCAAGCUCUUAGGAGACGAUCUGGCUCAGGAAACAGACACAUCAGAUCCUUGCGUGUAUCUGAUGGUUGCCAUGGGAACAAGUCAUUUAACACAAUGCUGGGUUAAAGCAUUGAUCAAUAAGGGAGGGGGCAAGAUUGAAACAAAUUAGUUGGUGUCUGAGCAGGCCGGACAGAUAAUGACAGUAACGGGCAGUGCUCUGCCUGGCCUCCUCCCGUGGCCGGGGCCUGGGCCUGGGCCAGCAGAGGCAGGAGUGGGGUCCCUUCAUCUAGGGUUGGGAUGUGUGGGGCAGAGAACAGAGUCAUAUCAGGCUGAGGAAACUGUUCCCCAAACCAGAUACUGGGGCAAGAGAGGCCUGAGAGGAGUCUGGGGACCUGGGCUCUGGGGGUGAGUGGAACACAAGGCGACAUGGGAAGAAGCUGGGAUGGACCCCAGGGCCUGGGCACAGCCAGUCCCGGCUUCUCCACGCUCCUGCACCAUGUUUGCACAGACGGCUGGGACAUCUUGCCACAUCCUUCAUCUCUCAGGUGUCUGCCAAAGACGCAGCCGCUAACCCCGUGCCCUGUGUUUUGGGCAUGGAUGGGGCAUUCCCUCCUCCUUCUGGGAACCGGAAGCAUCCGGGCUGGCCUGGGAGCCAUCAAGGGCUCAGACUCCGCAUUUGGCAAGACCUGUUUCUAACUGCUACCCCCACCUCCUGGCCGUUGAGCUGGCAAGUCACUGAAGCCCGUGCCCCUCAGUCUUCUCAUCUGUAUGAUGAAGGAACCAUGCGCAGCGUCUGGCUUGGCGCCUGCAACAGAGUCAGCCCUCAGGAUGUAGUAACCUCGCCCUAUUUAUACCAUGUUCGUGUGCCUGGAACAGGCUCCGGGGGCGCCUCGGACCCCAACUGCCACGGCAGCCACACAGCAGGACGAGGAGAGAACAGCCCGUGGGGCCGGAUGCGGCGGGGCUGGGACGCCAGGCAGACGAGAUGCCGGCUGUGCAACCUCCCUGGUCCCUUCACAUCUCUGAGGUGCACUUGGCUCGCGGGUCAAGUGGGGAUACAGCGCCUUUCUCCGGGGGCGCUGAGCGCGGCGAUGAGCGUGGGUAACACAGCCAGGAGUGCUUCUCCCCCGGGGGAACAGGAUUUUCCGGGGUCCGGACACUCACGCCCCCCGGAUCGGCGCCCCGGAGCGCAGGCGCGCGGCGGGGGGCUGCCCCCCAGGCGAAGGGCCCGGCUCGGCAUCUGGAAAGACCCGCGGGUCGCGCGGCCCCGGAGCGGCCGGCAGGGGGCAGGCUGUCCCCGCGAGCCGGCCGUGUCCUCGCGUCACCCCGCCGCCUCCAGCCCCCGCGCCUCCUGAAGGGGCCACGCGGCCGCCUCUGCGCGGAGGGCGAGCGGCCCUUCCCCGGGGAGCCCUCUCCAUCAGCGCGGGCCCAAUAAUUUACGUUUAAUUUGGGAGCGGU